This 79-nucleotide transfer RNA is filed under the name Stegodyphus mimosarum. It matches the Rfam family "tRNA". From Rfam's summary of the family: Transfer RNA (tRNA) molecules are approximately 80 nucleotides in length. Their secondary structure includes four short double-helical elements and three loops (D, anti-codon, and T loops). The record is from Rfam by way of RNAcentral. Lineage: Eukaryota; Metazoa; Arthropoda; Arachnida; Araneae; Eresidae.
GUCUUCGUGGUGUAGAGGUCAGCACGCUCGACUGUAACUCGUAACUGAGAGGUCUGUAGUUCGAUUCCCGGCGAAGGCG